Molecule: transfer RNA, 70 nt
Filed under: Dipodomys ordii (Ord's kangaroo rat)
Lineage: Eukaryota; Metazoa; Chordata; Mammalia; Rodentia; Heteromyidae
Rfam family: tRNA
About the family: Transfer RNA (tRNA) molecules are approximately 80 nucleotides in length.
Source: Rfam by way of RNAcentral
GGGAAUAUAGCUCAGUGGUAGAGUGCUUGCCUAGCAUGCAUGAAGCCCUGGGUUCGGUUCCUCAGUACCA